CAACUUUAAAUCUUCCUUCUAUCCAUUUUGUUUUGUUCAGAUAGAUCUUUAUUCAUCCUCGAUAGAAGCUCAUUGAUUUAGACACUUUGACAACAUCCAUAUUUUCAGAGUUAAAACCUAAAAAUAAACAAGGAUCAAUCUGUAAUAAGAGAAACUAGUUUAAAGGCACAAUAAUCAAAGUAGUAACGUCAAAAAUCAAUGAUUUUUAUAUCGAUUGUUUGGUCGAUUUGUGUUGGAGAGACAAUGUAUGAAACAGACACAGAAACGUGUAAACGUUUUAUUUGAUAAAAGUUAGGACUUCAGUUUAGCAGGCUUCAGAAAGAUCGAAUGUGAUUAAUGAUUUAUAAAUAAACAACAACAACACGCCAACGUUCUGAUUAACGCCCUCAUUGUUUGUUCUUAAAAGAGACAAUACGUUUCUAUUGAGAGACAGACAGAAAGACAGAAUGAGAGAGACAGAGACAAAGAAAGAGCAAGACAGCUUGUCAGACCACCAGGUUGGUACACGUCAUCUCGUCAGUAUUCAACACUUCUGUUUAGAAAGUAAAAUCGAAACAUCAACUAAGGUUUAGAAGAAAUAAAUAUGGGUUUUAGUUUAAAAGAAGAAACACGGGGAUGCUGCAAUGCCUUAAAGGGUUCGGAACACGACAGACGGGCGGUUCUGAUUGGCCGGCUGCUCAGGUGAGAGACAGCAUGCGUUGUUUCAGAGGUCCUGAGCCCUCUAAACUUGAGCUUGUUCUCUGAAGUCCAAACAUCAAGAACCUGAGGAUCCUGUAGGUAGGAGAACCGGGUAGAACCCAGAACCUGCAGCUGGUGGUGCGGUCUAUAGAUUAGCUCGAGUCUGGAUCUUGUAGGUGAGCCCUGAUGGUGGGUAAGAUAACAAGGCACUGUUGGGUUAUCUGGUUCUGGGAGUAGAUCGGCCUGCAGGCUGGAGGUCAAGCAACGUCAGCGAGCAACGGCAGUAGAAGGAGGAGGGGAGCAGACAGCUGUUUCUAUGGCAACGAGAAGAAAGAGACGGAUUAAAUGUGAGACAAAAACAUAAGGUUUGAACCUUCUUAAUACUAAAAACAUCAUUACCUGAGGAUUCACCUGUUAGGCCUCGCUGGCGCUGCUGUUCCUGUUGAGCUCUCUGAUGCCGUGAAGGAUUCUCUUUAUGUGACCGACCUUUGUCACCCCAAGUACCUUCAGGUCCCUCCUCUCCAGGUGGAUCAGUUCGGCCCCACGGACAUCGUGCCCCAUGAAGAUGUCUUGAUACUCGUUGAGAGAGAGAAAGCCCAGCCACGCCCCCACCUCCUCCGUCCCCCACUGGUGGACUGAGAGACCAACAGGAAGUGGGUCAGGUAAACAGGAAGUGGGUCCGGUAGACAUAGGGUAUGUCUCAAUUCCUCGGCUGUCCCGUUCCAUCGGCUCCGGAGCCGGUUUGGAGGACACAUCUGGUCUCUCCUUUGCAGCCCAGCAUAUCCCAGCAUGCAGUGUGGUCCGACGAGGAUUUCAUUUAUUCAGGCGGGUGAUCCAGCAGCACAGAGUUCACUUUUAAAUGUUACGUAACCAGUGUCGAGUUUUAAAUACACAUAAGACGCAAGAACAAAGUGGUCUUAGUUAUAACGUAACUCCGUCCUGCCCUCCCCUCCCCUCCCCCUCC
Long non-coding RNA from Gasterosteus aculeatus aculeatus (three-spined stickleback), 1642 nucleotides. Lineage: Eukaryota; Metazoa; Chordata; Actinopteri; Perciformes; Gasterosteidae. The record is from Ensembl.